AUCUUUAAGUAAAAAUUUAAAGCCCAGCCUGCUCAAUGAUAUAUUUAAAUAGCCGCAGUAUAUACUGUGCUAAGGUAGCAUAAUAAUUAGCUUCUUAAUUAGAAGAUAGAAUGAAAGACUAAACGAAUGAUAAUCUGUCUCUAUAAUAAUCACUAAAUUAAAAUAUUAGUUAAAAUACUAAUAUAUAUAUGAAAGACGACAAGACCCUGAUAAACUUCUCAUUUAAUUGGGGCAAUAAAUUAAAAAAACCUUAUUUAUUUAAAUAUAAAACCACAAAAGUGUAAUAUAAAAUAGUUACUACAGGGAUAACAGCGCAAUUCUUUUUAAGAGCUCUAAUCUAAAAAAGAUAUUACGACCUCGAUGUUGAAUUAGUUAUCUUUAAUGGAGCAACACCUAUUAUAGUAAGGUCUGUUCGACCACACAAAAC
This 427-nucleotide ribosomal RNA is filed under the name Smeringopina ankasa. RNAcentral describes it as "partial 16S ribosomal RNA". It matches the Rfam family "Bacterial large subunit ribosomal RNA", at positions 1829 to 2596 of the family's 2925-position model. Lineage: Eukaryota; Metazoa; Arthropoda; Arachnida; Araneae; Pholcidae. The record is from RNAcentral.